UGGCCGAUUGAGCAUUGCCAUUGACAUGAGCAUUCAAUAUUUGCUUAUGUGUGAACAUGCAAGAUUCACAAAAGCUUUUGGCUCAAGGGAAAAAUGAUUCUAGUCUGGCCUGGCCCAUGUCCCAUUUUCAGUCUGGCUUUACCCCGCUAGCCUGCUUCUGUUGGUUCACAGAAAUGAACAAGAAAUAAGGCCAUGUGUAACGUUAAAACUAGGCCAGUAGAACACUGAUGUCUAUAUGAAGAGAGGAUGUGCAAACAUGUUCCAGGAUCUGAUAGCCUGUAAAUUGGGAGUAGGGACACUAAGGU
Long non-coding RNA from Onychostoma macrolepis, 305 nucleotides. RefSeq lists it as uncharacterized. The transcript is spliced from 3 exons. Lineage: Eukaryota; Metazoa; Chordata; Actinopteri; Cypriniformes; Cyprinidae. The record is from RefSeq and is a predicted model, not a curated record.